RNAcentral lists this ribosomal RNA (506 nucleotides) under uncultured bacterium. RNAcentral describes it as "partial 16S ribosomal RNA". It matches the Rfam family "Bacterial small subunit ribosomal RNA", at positions 899 to 1397 of the family's 1533-position model. The record is from RNAcentral.
ACUCAAAGGAAUUGACGGGGGCUCACACAAGCGGUGGAGCAUGUGGCUUAAUUCGAAGCAACGCGAAGAACCUUAUCCUAGGCUUGACAUGCAUGGAUUAACUUCCUGAAAGGGAAGCCACACCCUCUGGGUGGAACAUGCACAGGUGCUGCAUGGCUGUCGUCAGCUCGUGCUGUGAAGUGUCGGGUUAAGUCCCUCAACGAGCGCAACCCCUGUCGUUAGUUGCUAACGGGUAAUGCCGAGGACUCUAGCGAGACUGCCGGUGUCAAACCGGAGGAAGGUGGGGAUGACGUCAAGUCCUCAUGGCCUUUAUGCCUAGGGCUGCACACGUGCUACAAUGGUGCGGACAGAACGAUGCAAGGCCGCAAGGCGGAGCAAAUCGCUCAAAGCGCACCCCAGUUCGGAUUGCGGGCUGAAACCCGCCCGCAUGAAGUCGGAAUCGCUAGUAAUCGCGGAUCAGCCACGCCGCGGUGAAUACGUUCCUGAGCCUUGUACACACCGCCCGU